RNAcentral lists this ribosomal RNA (445 nucleotides) under uncultured bacterium. Its description in RNAcentral is "partial 16S ribosomal RNA". It matches the Rfam family "Bacterial small subunit ribosomal RNA", at positions 354 to 796 of the family's 1533-position model. The record is from RNAcentral.
GUGAGGAAUAUUGCGCAAUGGAGGCAACUCUGACGCAGCCAUGCCGCGUGCAGGAAGAAGGCGCUACGCGUUGUAAACUGCUUUUAACCGGGAAGAAACCCCAGGACGUGUCCUGGGUUGACGGUACCGGAGGAAUAAGCACCGGCUAACUUCGUGCCAGCAGCCGCGGUAAUACGAAGGGUGCAAGCGUUAUCCGGAUUCAUUGGGUUUAAAGGGUGCGUAGGCGAAGCGUUAAGUCAGUGGUGAAAUCCUGCAGCUUAACUGUAGACUUGCCAAUGAUACUGGAGCUAUUGAGUGCGCUUGAAGUGGGCGGAAUGUGCAGUGUAGCGGUGAAAUGCUUAGAUAUGGCACAGAACACCAAUUGCGAAGGCAGCUCACUAAGGCGAUACUGACGCUGAGGCACGAAAGCGUGGGGAUCGAACAGGAUUAGAUACCCCAGUAGUCC